RNAcentral lists this ribosomal RNA (254 nucleotides) under uncultured bacterium. RNAcentral describes it as "partial 16S ribosomal RNA". It matches the Rfam family "Bacterial small subunit ribosomal RNA", at positions 524 to 776 of the family's 1533-position model. The record is from RNAcentral.
UACGUAGGGUGCAAGCGUUUAAUCGGAAUUACUGGGCGUAAAGCGUGCGCAGGCGGUUUUGUAAGUCUGUCGUGAAAGCCCCGGGCUCAACCUGGGAAUUGCGAUGGAGACUGCAAGGCUUGAAUCUGGCAGAGGGGGGUAGAAUUCCACGUGUAGCAGUGAAAUGCGUAGAGAUGUGGAGGAACACCGAUGGCGAAGGCAGCCCCCUGGGUCAAGAUUGACGCUCAUGCACGAAAGCGUGGGGAGCAAACAGA